GCGCAGCAGGCGAGAAACUUCACACUGUGCGAAAGCACGAUGAGGGAAUCCCAAGUGCUUGCACGUAAGUGUAAGCUGUUUCUCUGUCUAAAACGCAGAGAGAGUAAGGGCUGGGUAAGACGGGUGCCAGCCGCCGCGGUAAUACCUGCAGCUCAAGUGGUGACCGUUAUUAUUGGGCCUAAAACGUCCGUAGCCGGUUUAAUAAAUGCCUGGGUAAAUUGUGUAGCUUAACUAUACGAAUUCCGGGUAGGCUGUUAAACUUGAGACCGGGAGAAGUUAGAGGUACUCCUGGGGUAGAGGUGAAAAUUCUGUAAUCCUAGGGGGACCACCAGUGGCGAAGGCGUCUAACUAGAACGGGUCUGACGGUGAGGGACGAAGCCCU
RNAcentral lists this ribosomal RNA (382 nucleotides) under uncultured microorganism. Its description in RNAcentral is "bacterial SSU rRNA". It matches the Rfam family "Archaeal small subunit ribosomal RNA", at positions 330 to 713 of the family's 1478-position model. The record is from RNAcentral.